UUCGUGUGAACAGUGGUUGAUCACGAGUUAGUCGGUCCUAAGUUCAAGGCUAAAGCCGAAAACUUUCAAGUAAAAAUAAUAAUCAUAAUAUAUAUAUUAUAUAUGUUUGGCUAUAUAAUACACUUGAAUAAUUUUGAACGAAAGGGAAUACGGUUCCAAUUCCGUAACCUGUUGAGUAUCCGUUUGUUAUUAAAUAUGGGCCUCGUGCUCAUCCUGGCAACAGGAACGACCAUAAAGAAGCCGUCGAGAGAUAUCGGAAGAGUUUUCUUUUCUGUUUUAUAGCCGUACUACCAUGGAAGUCUUUCGCAGAGAGAUAUGGUAGAUGGGCUAGAAGAGCAUGACAUAUACUGUUGUGUCGAUAUUUUCUCCUCGGACCUUGAAAAUUUAUGGUGGGGAUACGCAAACUUCUCAACAGGCCGUACCAAUAUCCGCAGCUGGUCUCCAAGGUGAAGAGUCUCUAGUCGAUAGAAUA
This 472-nucleotide ribosomal RNA is filed under the name Dichaetophora sp. Y2 (Toda). RNAcentral's name for it is "partial 28S ribosomal RNA". It matches the Rfam family "Eukaryotic large subunit ribosomal RNA", at positions 1508 to 1897 of the family's 3401-position model. The record is from RNAcentral. Lineage: Eukaryota; Metazoa; Arthropoda; Insecta; Diptera; Drosophilidae.